This is a long non-coding RNA of Panicum virgatum (switchgrass), 1425 nucleotides long. RefSeq lists it as uncharacterized. The record is from RefSeq and is a predicted model, not a curated record. The transcript is spliced from 4 exons. NCBI's taxonomy places the organism in Eukaryota, Viridiplantae, Streptophyta, Magnoliopsida, Poales, Poaceae.
AUGCGGCUCCUGCGGCGCAGCCGCGCACGGGCCAAGGCGGAGCCUAGGCCGGUGCUCUAGAUCCGCAACCACUACGCCGGCAAGGAGAAGCUGUAUGGCAAGGUGGCCGACUAGGAGAUGGUGGAGGAGCAUGAUAGCUAGGUGCUGCUCGAGGAUGACAACACGGAUGUCUCCUUCCUCAUGGUUUCCAAUGCUUGAGAUGCGGGAGAGGUUGUUGGAGAUGGAGUCGGAGGACUGCUUGAUGAGGAGGUUGGAGUCUGCGGAGUCGAUCAGGACUUGGUAGCUGCGGCCGAUGAGCUGCCGGAGCUCCUUCUUAGCGGAGAUCUCGCGGCGGGUGGCGCCCUUCGCCGCGCGGAUCUCUGGUAUGUGCUUGGUGCGGAACAGCUCGUCGGAGUCGGCCACUGCCGCCUUGGAUGGCUGCCGCAGGCAUCGCAGCCGCGCUUGCCCGGUGGAUCUUCGACUUUUACUGUAUUUUCUCACACAUCUUUAUCCCCCAAUCCCUGAAUGCUUUCGCAUUUGUUUUGGCCUUUGUUUGCUGUGAAUUGAAGAUCCCUGGAGAAUGUCAGAGUUUUUGCUACUAGCACGAAGGCUGCCUCCUAGUGAGAAAGUGCAUAAAGAUUAGUCAGACCCAUUCAUUUUUUUUCAGUUGUGUUUAGUUCUUGUUAGUUGAUCUAGUCUCUCAAGGGUUAGUUUAUCUUCAAAGAUCAACAUUCAUGCUACAAGCAGAUCAGUACUAUUUCUUGGUAAUAAUGUUUUUUCUACAAGCAGAUCAGUCUAUUUCUAGGUAGUAAUGUUUUUCUACAAGCAUAUCAGUACUAUUUUUAGGCAAUAAUGUAUUUUUAUACAAGUAGAUUAGUACUAUUUCUAGGCAAUAAUGUAUUUUUUAUACAAGCAUAUCAUUACUAUUUCCAAGCAAUAAUGUAUUUCUUACAAGCAAAUUAUUACUAUUUUCCAGGCAAUAAUGUAUUUUCUAUACAAGCAGAUCAAUUUUUUUUGUUCAGAGAAAUCUUGCAUGUUUUUGGUUCACUCGGCAUCAAAAUCACUAAUCCAGUUUCUAAUCUGCAUUCAAUCAGGAACUAAAAAAAACUCCUUGGUCCUGAUAGAAUUUUUCUCUUGUUACAUUGAUAAUUCUAUUGAAAUGCUUCUAUUGGAAAUUCUCUGUUGCGUCUCAUGUUCCUUACAACCCUUUUUUCAUGUGCAACGAGGAGAACUUAUGGCUUAAAUUCUGAGACUUGGCAUCAAUAAAGGUGGUGCCUGCAGGUCUCCGGCAGCAUAAGAGGAAGGAUAUGUGCAGAUUUGAAGCAGAUUACGUAGAUAAAGCAGACAAAAUAAAUACUUAUGUGCUGUCAUGCUGGUAGUAUAGCUCAAGAACUUUAGGCAUAUAUGCAUGUGUAUGUAAGGCACCGGACAAAAGAAGGUUGGGUA